AAUCCGUGGUGCAGGCAACACCGAAGUAAGUGCUUGUACCACUCCCAGGCAUCAUACAUGCUCUCGUCAUCGAACUGCACAAAAGAAGAUAUGUCAUUUCUCAAUCU
RNAcentral lists this small nucleolar RNA (107 nucleotides) under Ricinus communis (castor bean). RNAcentral's name for it is "Plant small nucleolar RNA R71". It matches the Rfam family "Plant small nucleolar RNA R71". From Rfam's summary of the family: R71 is a member of the C/D box family of snoRNAs containing the C (UGAUGA) and D (CUGA) box motifs. Multiple nearly identical copies of this snoRNA have been identified in Arabidopsis, and it is thought to function as a 2'-O-ribose methylation guide for 18S ribosomal RNA. Lineage: Eukaryota; Viridiplantae; Streptophyta; Magnoliopsida; Malpighiales; Euphorbiaceae. The record is from Rfam by way of RNAcentral.